Molecule: ribosomal RNA, 122 nt
Filed under: Pteropus alecto (black flying fox)
Lineage: Eukaryota; Metazoa; Chordata; Mammalia; Chiroptera; Pteropodidae
Source: RNAcentral
GUCUAUGGCCAUGCCACCACGAACAAGCCUGAUCUCAUCUGAUCUUGGAAGAAGCUAAGCAGGGUCGGGCCUGGUUAGUACUUGGAUGGGAGAUCACCUAGGAAGACCAGGUGAUGUAGGCG